CCCUUAGAUGUUCUGGGCCGCACGCGCGCUACACUGAUGCAUUCAACGAGUUCUUCCUGGUCCGAGAGGAAUGGGUAACCUUUUGAAAGUGCAUCGUGCUAGGGAUAGACUAUUGCAAUUAUUGGUCUUCAACGAGGAAUUCCUAGUAGACGUAGUUCAUCAGACUGCAUCGAUUACGUCCCUGCCCUUUGUACACACCGCCCGUCGCUCCUACCGAUUGGAUGAUCCGGUGAGCUAUUCGGACCUGUGCAUUUUCCAUUGGAACUUGCGUGGGAAAGUCUCGAACCUUAUCAUCUAGAGGAAGGAGAAGUCGUAACA
This 318-nucleotide ribosomal RNA is filed under the name uncultured eukaryote. Its description in RNAcentral is "partial 18S ribosomal RNA". It matches the Rfam family "Eukaryotic small subunit ribosomal RNA", at positions 1470 to 1796 of the family's 1831-position model. The record is from RNAcentral.